GUUUUUACGCUGUGUAAUUGUGCUAAUUUGGGAGUCAUAAUUUUGAUUUUUUGAUUUCAUUUGUAUUGACAGGCGUACACAUUUAAGUUGCAUUUCAUUUAAUUUGUCUUUCCUGUCGCUGUGUCAUUGGGCAUGUGGUAAUAACGUUGGGGAAUUUUUAAAAAAACGAAAAGAAAAAUUGUGUUCUGGGAUCCAAGCGGAGUAAUGUAACGGUGGGUAUUGUGCAAGAGAAUGUAAUGGGGGAGAAAAAUACUGCUCCGAUUGCAGAGAAAAAUCAAGCUGUUUUUCUUCCAGGAGCAGGGAAGGAAUAAAGACUGGAAACUGAAAACGAUCGAUUAUUUGAUUAAUUUGGGCCCGGCAUAUUGGCCAUUGAAUUGGGUUUCCAGUUAUGUAAUUUGGUUUCAACGUGGGUUGGAGGAUUGAGUUAUCUAUUGCUUUUUGGCUGGGGGGUGAAACCCUAGGCGUUAGGGUUUGAUCGUGGUUCAGGAGGGGUGGGGGGGGAGGGCAGGUUGGGGAAGAAAUUGUGGGGGUUUGUGUGUUUUGAUGGUGUGGAUCGGGGGUUUUGAUGGGGGAUCUCUCAGCUCCCAUGAUUAGGGUUUGCUGUUUUUGUCACUGUUGUUGAGAUGCUGUGUAGUUUCGACAAUUGUGGCGGGGGCUUUGGUAAUGUCGUAGCGAAGCAACGGGGUGUUGUUGGUAGUGGGCGGAUGGAGGACAACGAGCUUGAGGAAGGAGAAGCCUCCUGUGCCUUCUAUAAUGACUUUGACCCUGAUGUUGCCCUCUCCUACAUUGAUGAUAAAAUACAUGAUGUUUUGGGUCACUUUCAGAAGGAAUUUGAGGGAGGUGUUUCAGCUGAAAAUCUUGGGGCAAAAUAUGGAGGCUAUGGCUCAUUUUUGCCAACCCAUCAGCGGUCUCCAUCAGUUUUGCUUCAACCCAGAACUCCUGCCAUUGUGCAGAACUAUAGUAUGCAAAAUCUUCCCAAUGAAGGGACAGUGGAGCGCAUGCGCUCUGCAGCUGCUAUCUCAGGGGGUGGUGCCAAUCCCUCAAAGGCAGGCUCCUUAGCAAACCAUGCAUUAUCUGCCCCAGCAGCUUUUACUGCUGAUAUGGUAAACAAGGGUGAUAUGCCAAAUAAUGCUAUGAAGGGAAGUAAGGAAAUGUCUCCUCUGAAAAGGUGUUCUGUAGCUAAGAAUACAUCUGGCAAUGAACAAAAUAAGAUCCCACUAUUACGGUUUAAGGUGCCUACUGACUCUGUUCAGCGCAGUAAGAGCUCUGCAAUCUACAGUGGGUUAGGUCUCGAUAAUUCUCCAUCAUCAUCAUUUGAGGAUAGUCCUGAGGACAGACAGGAAAGCUCACCUGGUGAUGAAUAUUCUCCUGUUCAGUCACCUACUUCUAUAAUCCAAAUAAUGACCUCUUAUCGGAUUCCUGGAGGUUCCUUGCUUAGUCCUCUUCGUGAAGAUCUCCAAAAAUUGCCAGAGAGAUAUGACAAAGCUUCGGCAAGAGAUGCUAAAAAUAGGACAAUUAAGGCAGAGCUGCAGGAAGCACAUGCAACAAACAGAAAUGAGUUUGACUCAGCAAUGGAUUUCCAAGGCCCAAAGGAAAGGAAAGGGAGGUCGGAUGAGAAACAUGGUAAAUAUACAGAAGUAAAGAAGGAGAAUGAUACUGAAAUUGGGAAAAAUGCUACAAAUAAUCCAAAAAAGGAUUUGGAUUUCGAGAACAAAACGGGAAAAGAUUUUGGUUCUAGUAAUUUGAAAUUUCCAAUAAAGUCCUUUUCAAAGGAAUAUCAUCAUGAACGCACAGAAAGGGAAGUGAUGGGAGAUUCAGGAAAAGAAAAGAUAAAAGGAUCUAUUCUGCCAAAAGAAGGAUUAAAGGUAGGGCCAAAAGACAAGGUAUUCCGGUCUGAUUUACCAAAAAAUGAAUUGAAGGAAGUAGAUGGGAAUAUGGAUUUUAGCAGGGCCACGAAGUCAGAUGUUAGGCCGAUGCCACCAUCAGGUAAGCUAGAAUGCAAAGAAAAGGAAAUUUGUCAAGUGAAAGAAGUUAGGAAAGGCAGUGCCUGCAGAGAUUGUGCAACUGACAUUAAGAAAUUGGCUAAAGAGACUGGUAUGGAUAGCAAAAGUAAUGAUUUUUCAAAAGACCUUACUGGUUACAAAGAAUGGAAUGAGCAGAAAGAUGCAACAAAUGAAAUGUCAAAAGACAAGGUUGUUGGGAAGGAUUUUACCGAUGAAAUUGCUAGUUUACACAAGGAAAAUGAAAAAGAACAUGUCACAACCAAUAAGAAAAAACAAAAAGACAUGAACAGAAAAAACAGUUCAUCAAAAGAAUCAUCAAAGGAAAAAUCUAGAGAUUUGACAAGAUCAUCAUACAAAGAUUCAAGAAAAGACAAGCAUAAGCAUGGAAAGGAUUCUUUGACAUCUGAAGCAUUUGGUGAAAGUAUGAAAGCUCACAAAGAAUUGAAGCAAGCUCCUUAUAAAGACUUCCAAAGGGAUCAUAUUAAAGAUGUUGAGCAGGAACAGAGUAGAAAUAGAAAAGAUUCUGUUGAUGUUUAUCGAAAGGAUAGUAUGAAGGAACCAAGAUUUGAAUCCAUGGAAAGAGGAUGUUCAAGGGCACCUGAAAGAGAAAAGGAGAGAGAGCAUAACUUAACAAAGGUACCUUCAUCAAAGAAAUUAGAUCAUGCUUCAACUAGUGAAGUCCAUGUUUCAAAUGCUGCCAUUUCCCAUUCUUUACUGGGAGGCAUGAUGGGCACUGAUCCAGGAUUGCUACCUGUGGCUGCUGUUCUUAUAAAUGAAAAUUGGGUACAGUGUGAUGCCUGUGAAAAAUGGCGAUUGCUUCCUCCUGGGGUGGAUCCUACAUUUCUUCCUCAAAAAUGGCUUUGCCGUAUGCUUGAUUGGCUGCCUUCGAUGAAUCGGUGUGAGUUCACUGAAGAUGAGACUACACAAGCAGUCCGUGCUUUGAAUGGACAACAACCGGUUCAGUGCCAGUUAGAUGCAAGCAGAGGGCAAUUUCAACCUCCAGGAGCUCCAGCUUCUGCACCUGUCCUUGAUAUUAAACAAGCUGAGCCAAGUCAUGAUAUGAAAGCUCUGAAGUCCAGUAAUAUUUCUAGCAAUUGUAAGAAAGGACAAGUACAGAGGACAAUUGUCAGUGCCCCAGGCUCAACAAACCCUCCAAAUUCUAUUUCAAAAAAGACUAAGCAGAGCUCAAUAAAGAGUAAGAGCUUGAAUGAUGUAGUUCAACCAUCUCUUGAACAAGUUCAGGGCAGCACGGGUCUAUCACACCAAGCAAUUAAAGGGAAUGAUUCUUUAAUAGAAGCACAGAAAUUCAAACAAAAGGAAAAAUUAAAAAUGAGACAAAAUAUAUCUGAUGAAGUUGGAUAUGAUACUGGAGAAGGAAGUACACCCAGAUUAAAAGCUAAGCGUAAGAGUGAAGGUGAACUUGAUGUGCAUAAGCAUCUCAAAAAAAGCAAGGCAAAAGAGACUGCAGGCAUCAAUGAAGAUUCAUUUGAAAAAAAUGGUCUUAAAAAUAUCAUCGGUACUCCAGUCAAAAUAUCAGGCGUGAAAUCAAAGAAAUACAAUGAUAGCUCUUCUCCAAAACAAAUGAGAGAAGGUGUAUCAGCUAUGGAUAAAACUUUCAGGGACCAAGUUCAGACAUCAUUAGAAACUGAUAGCAGAGGAACUUACAGUGGCUUUGAAUCAGGAAAAGUUGAUAGAAGGGAUAUGAUAGCUAAGAAGAGGAAAAUGAAAGAAUGGAAAGAUAGCCAACAAGAAGGCCUUCCAGAUCAAGAAUAUGUAAAAGAUUGUAGAGGUAUUGCAAAAGAAGCGGGAAGUGAAACUGAAUAUAGAAGGGACAAGAAAGUAAAGGCUUUAAAAUCGGAGGGAAAGGAGUCCAGUGCAAGCAAAGCAGAUAAGAAAGGAAAAGUGACUAGAAUCCUGGUAGCUUCUUCCAAAGAUCAAUUGGCUAAUGGACUGGAUGAGCAGAGUAGAGGUAGCUACGAGAAAGAUCAUGAAUGGAGUCAACCUAGAGUACAAGGUGUUGCCCGAAGGGUGUCAAAUGGUAUGGAUAUGUUGAAAAGGGAGACUGGAUACGCACAACCUUUUGUUGCUGCAACAUCAAGUUCCUCAAAGAUUUCAUGUUCUCUCAAAAACUUGGCCAACAUUCAGGAAGUAAGAGGAUCUCCUGUGGAAUCGGUUUCCUCAUCACCAAUGAGGAUAUCGAAAGUGGAAAAACCGUCUCUAAUUGGAAGAAAUGGUUUAGGAGUGGAAGAUUCAAUUGAUGGUGAUUUUCCUUGUUUUGCCAGUCCAAGAAGAUUUUCUGAUUGUGAAGGUGACACACAAAGUGACCGCUCAGCACCGGUUAAGAAGAUAAAGGGUUCCUGUUCUGAACUACCUGGCUCACAUGAGAGUUGCAAGGCAUUUGAAUCUUCUCUUUUGAAUUCAGGAAAGGUUGAUGACAGUCAUGACAGAGAUGAAAAACUUUUUUCUGAUGUCAAUAUCAAAGACAAGAAGUCUUACCAGAUGUAUAGAACUGGCAAUGCUACUGAUCAUUUAGUUAAUAAUUGCAGUGCCGUUGAGCGACUGAGUGAAAGAAAAGAUAAGGAUCGGUCUCAAGAAAAAAAUAGAGAUCGCUAUAACUCUGAUGGUUGUCAGGACAGAAAACUACCAAGGGAAAAAAUAGUUAGGGAUCAUGACAGAGAAAGGGAGAAAAAUCCUGUACACAUAAAAGGAAAAGAUAGGAUACAUGAUUCCAUCAGUGAUAGUCAUGAGGAAUUAUACAUUCACGGGAAGGAUAGGAGAUCACAUGAAGGAGCUCCGGAGACUCAUGCGCACUCACCUUAUCUUGAGCCCUCUAGGGGUGGCAAGGAGUUUGUUGAUGAUAAGCGGAGCAAUAAAUCUGAUAAGGACAGAAGAAAUGAUAUAGAAUGGAGUAGUAAAACUGAUUCAAGGACAAAAAAAUUGGGUGAAAUGAGAAGAGGUAAUCAACUGAAACAUGGCUUAGAUGAUAAUACAGAAGCUAUGCCAUCUGAUUUACAUGCUAAGCAGAACAGAGAUUUUACCUCUAAGCACCAAAAUUUGGGGGUGGUGCCCAGGAAAGAUGGAAAGGCAAAUAUGCAGAAGAGCUUACAGCAUGACCUUUCUCGUGGUGGUGAGAGACUAUCUAAUCAUGGGCUGUCAGAUAGAAAUGUUCAGUCUGAAACUACUACCAGGGACAAAUUGCAAGCCGUUCCAUUUCUUGGAGAUAAGCCAAAUUUACAAGGACAUGGUUCUGCAACCGUGUGCAUGAGCAACAGAGGUACCCGGGCAGAAGGAGUAGCAACAGAUGUUUCUUAUGGUGAAUUUUCUAAAGUACCUAGAGAAUCCAGCAAAGCUGAUAAUUUGAGUGGAUCACUAAACUGUCGCUUGAAGCCCCCUACAUCAAAUGGUGUUUCAGGAAGAGAUCCCGAGGGGGCCCUUUCUAGUCCUGUUCGGAGAGAAUCUGGGCAAACAGUGAGUUCUUGCAUGAAAGAAGCAAAGGAUCUGAAACACAUGGCAGACAAUCUGAAGAGUAAAGGCAUGGACCGUGAUAGCACUUCCUUGUACUUCAAUGCAGCCUUGAAAUUUCUCAAAGCUGCUUCAUUGAUGGAGCUUUGCAAUGUCGAGAAUGCAAGGCACGGAGAAAUAACCCAGUCGAUGUCUGUAUACACAGAUACUGCAAAGCUUUGCGAAUUUUGUGCUCACACAUAUGAGAGAAAUAAGGAAAUGGCAGCUGCUGCCCUGGCAUAUAAAUGCAUGGGAGUGGCACACAUGAGGGUUGUUCACUCAAAAAAUUUAUUUAUAAGUAGAGAUCAGCAUGACCUGCAAAUGGCUUUUCAGAGUGCUCCAUCUGGGGAUUCCCCAUCAUCAUCAGCCUCAGAUGUCGACAACUUAAAUAACCAUGCAUUAAUGGAUAGAAGUGCUGCAAAUCCUGGAAAGGUAGCUGGGUCACCUCAAGUACCUGCUGAUCAUGUGAUUGCUGCUCGACAUCGUGCUGUUUAUGCUCGUGUGUUGCAAUAUACACGUGAUACCAUUGCUGCCGUUGAAGCAUUUAAAAAAUCAGAAAAUGCAUUUUCAGUUGCCAAUGGCAGUUUGGAUGAUGCCAGCCAUGAAUCAGCAGGAAUAUCUGCAGUGAAAAGAGUUAUGGAUUUCCACUUUAAUGACAUUGACACGCUGCUCCAUCUUGUUAAGCGUGCCAUGGAUGAAAUGUCUCAUUAAUUUGGUGUUUGUAACAUCGUCCCUUGUGAAUAAAGCUGUGUUGAUCUCAGUUACUUAUUCAGGCAUCCCCAGGGUGUUCGCAUUGAAGGAUAGCCAGAUCAGAAGUGGUGAAAUCAGAUUUUUUGGAGAGCUUAUGUUCCAUGUUGAAGUUUUAAAACUAAUGCUUCCAUGACAAUGCUGUAUCCCAGCAUUCAAGCUUGGUGGUAGAAGGGAAUGUAUAUGACAGAAAGAAUUCAUCAAGUUCUCAGGUGAUAUUUAUACUCUUUAUAGUGCAACCUGGGUAGGUUUGAUGGUGGAUGCAUGUGUGCUCCUUAAAGGAGGUCACAAGGUUGAAUCUGGAGGGAGGUUGGGUUGUACAUCCCAUAAAACAGUAUGUAAGAAAUUAUACAAGAUCGAAGUGUGACAAAUAUGACGUUUCUCUUGAGACAUAAGUCGAUUUAGUUUAUCAGAAGGUUCUAAAAUCAAAGGUGAUUCUGACUAUAAGUUCUGCAGAAUCUGCUUAUGUUUAUUAACGUAUAUGCAACUGUAGAGAUUUGAAAGACAAGGAUUGAUGUUCACAUAAAAACAUGUUGUGUUACGUUUCUUUGAUUGCGCCUAAAAUCAAAGGGUGCUGCUGGCUAGGGAUGGUGUGCUCUGGCCUCAGAUUCUGAUUAUGUUAAUUAACUUAUUACAACUGAACAGAUUUCUCAUGCUUCUUAUGAGAAAGUUCCCAUUGAGCAUAUAUAAGUGAUUAUGAAAUUUCAAAAUGUACUGUUCUUAGUGGCAAACAUGGUAUGCAUCAUCAGGGCCUCGAUUAAUCCAAAAUUUGGAGAAUGCUCUUAUUUCAAGUUAUUUCAAAUGUGCCAUUCGGUAAUAGCAAUGGGAUCAAAAUUGUUUACAACUGUUGAA
This is an RNA transcript of Cryptomeria japonica (Japanese cedar), 7103 nucleotides long. It is a transcript of the gene named cysteine-tryptophan domain-containing zinc finger protein 7, with no coding region annotated. The transcript has 14 exons. The record is from RefSeq and is a predicted model, not a curated record. Lineage: Eukaryota; Viridiplantae; Streptophyta; Pinopsida; Cupressales; Cupressaceae.